GAUGAAGAACGUAGCGAAAUGCGAUAAGUAAUGUGAAUUGCAGAAUUCAGUGAAUCAUCGAAUCUUUGAACGCACCUUGCGCCCUUUGGCCAUUCCGAAGGGCAUGCCUGCUUGAGUAUCAUGAACACCUCAACUCUUUAUGGUUUUCCAUGAUGAGCUUGGACUCUGGGGGUUUUGCUGGCUCACAGUCGGCUCCUCUAAAAUGAAUCAGCUUACCAGUGUUUGGUGGGUAUCAUGGGUGUGAUAACUAUCUACGCUUGUGGUUUUUCCACCAGGUAACCUUCAGCAGUGGAGGUUCGCUGGAGCUCAUAGAUGUCUCUCCUCAGUGAGGACAGCCCUUUGAAUGUUUGAUCUCAAAUCAGGUAGGACUACCCGCUGAACUUAAGCAUAUCAAUAAGCGGAGGA
Molecule: unclassified non-coding RNA, 405 nt
Filed under: soil metagenome
Description: partial contains 5.8S ribosomal RNA, internal transcribed spacer 2, and large subunit ribosomal RNA
Rfam family: 5.8S ribosomal RNA (bases 1-121)
Source: RNAcentral